Molecule: long non-coding RNA, 1037 nt
Organism: Neofelis nebulosa (Clouded leopard)
Lineage: Eukaryota; Metazoa; Chordata; Mammalia; Carnivora; Felidae
Exons: 2
Source: RefSeq, a predicted model, not a curated record
GCUAUGGAGCGAAAGGGAGAAGGGUUAUAGACUCAGGCAUCAAGCAGUGAAGUGUGAGCCUGUCAGCCUCCCAGAUUCCUCACCCAUCUAGGCUGUUUCUCCUUUCUUUGUCAGAGGCAGCUCAAGACCAGUCUCCUCUCUGAGACAUGCUCUCCAGCCCCUCAGGGCCCCUGGACCCAUCUCCAUGCGUCUCCUGCCCCUGGAAGUGCCCUCCUGCCUUCCCUUCCCCUCCCCUGAUGCCUCCCCAUGCAUGGGCUCAGCUUCCUCCUGGUUCCCCACAGGCUCAGCCAGGCCAGAAAGCCCCCAGGUUUCCCCUCCACUGCCUGUCACUGCACCUGAGAGGUGCUUUGGGGAGUCCCCACUCCAGUUCCUCCCUAUCCCCCAGGGCUUGCAGGCUUCCUGUCCCCUGGUAUAUGGUGUGUGGGUGCCACCUACACCACUCCGGGCCUGGAGCACUGGCUGCUGGUCUCAUAAUAACCCGUGAUCCGAUGACGUGCGAUUGCCUGGGCAAUGUAGUUGAAGCAGCACUCGGCCGGGUGGUAAGGUCCUCCUGAGGAGAGAGCAGGGAGGGAAGUGGACACUGGGUUCUCUGCUAAAAGCCAGAGCUGCUGGCUGCUUCUGCACUAUAGAGGGUGGAAGAGGGAAAGGAGGAGGAGGUGGCCUCACAGAAUUUGGAGGGAGGGUUGUGCAGACACUCGGUCCUCCGGCUCCCCUCUCCCUCCUCCUGCAUCCACAAUCACCCUCUUUCCUGUUCUUCAACCUCUCCUAGAAAGACUGGCUGAUGACCUUCAACUCCAGAUUGAAGAUUAGCAAAGCCCAAAUCUUCUCAGGGCCAGGAUGGAAGGAAGACAAGGUAUUGCACUCACGUGAAGAGGAUUUAGCCGUGGACACCAGGGCACCGGUGAUGAGGAGGAGGAGGAAGAGGGAGAUGGCAGCCAUGGAGACUUUCAUCCUCCUGGGUUGAGGGAGCUGCUGCAGGAGGAGAACUUGCCUGGUAGGGGCUUCUGAAGCUCCUGGGCUGAGGUGGUGGUGAGAAA